UACGUAGGGUGCAAGCGUUGUCCGGAAUUAUUGGGCGUAAAGAGCUCGUAGGCGGCUUGUCGCGUCGGCUGUGAAAACCUGAGGCUCAACCUCGGGCUUGCAGCCGAUACGGGCAAGCUAGAAUUCGGUAGGGGAGACUGGAAUUCCUGGUGUAGCGGCGAAAUGCGCAGAUAUCAGAAGGAACACCGGUGGCGAAGGCGGUUCUCUGGGAAUGUUCUGACGCUGAGGAGCGAAAGUGUGGGGAGCGAACAGG
Molecule: ribosomal RNA, 253 nt
Filed under: uncultured bacterium
Lineage: Bacteria
Description: partial 16S ribosomal RNA
Rfam family: Bacterial small subunit ribosomal RNA
Source: RNAcentral